RNAcentral lists this ribosomal RNA (180 nucleotides) under uncultured bacterium. RNAcentral describes it as "partial 16S ribosomal RNA". It matches the Rfam family "Bacterial small subunit ribosomal RNA", at positions 1322 to 1500 of the family's 1533-position model. The record is from RNAcentral.
GAAGCUGGAAUCGCUAGUAAUCGCGGAUCAGAAUGCCGCGGUGAAUACGUUCCCGGGUCUUGUACACACCGCCCGUCACACCAUGGGAGUCGGAAAUGCCCGAAGUCUGUGACCCAACCAUUAAGGAGGGAGCAGCCGAAGGCAGGUCGGAUGACUGGGGUGAAGUCGUAACAAGGUAAC